This 574-nucleotide long non-coding RNA is filed under the name Homo sapiens (human). RNAcentral's name for it is "HSALNT0405942". Lineage: Eukaryota; Metazoa; Chordata; Mammalia; Primates; Hominidae. The record is from RNAcentral.
UUUUUUUUGAGACAGAGUCUUGCCCAGGCUGGAGUGCAGUGGCAUGAUCUCGGCUCACUGCAACCUCCGCCUCCCGGGUUCAAGCGAUUCUUCUGCCUCAGCCUCCCGAGUAGCUGGGACUACAGGCACGUGCCACCACACCCAGCUAAUUUUUGUAUUUUCAGUAGAGACGAGGUUUCGCCAUAUUGGCCAGGCUGGUCUCGAACUCCUGACAUCGUGAUCCACCCACCUCGGUCUCCCAAAAUGCUGGGAUUACAGGUGUGACCCACCGUGCCCAGCCGUCAGUCCCUUCUUAAAAGCCCUGUGGCAGCUCCUCAUGGCCCCAGGAUGAAGAGGAGAGACGGAGGGGCAAGCAGUUUGCAAACCAUCUGGACACUGGUGCCUGGGGAGGAGGCAACAACUCCUGCACUCAGCCCCUCGGCUGCGGAACUGGAAGAGGACACAGCCCCAAGGACAGAGACAAACAAACUGUGGGAGCCUUAGCUUCAGAGUCAAAUAAAUCUACGUUUCAUCCUGUUUCUGCCACUUCCUGGCUCCUGUAGUGGGCGCCAUGAUGUUCUACCCUGAAUGGGAG